AUGCCCAAGUGCCCCAAGUGCGACAAGGAAGUUUACUUCGCCGAGAGGGUGACCUCUCUGGGCAAGGACUUGCCUCGGCCCUGCCUGAAGUGCGAGAAUGUGGGAAGACGCUGACCUCCGAGGGCCACGCUGAGCACGAAAGCAAGCCCUACUGCAACCACUUGCUAUGCCGCCAUGUUUGGGCAAAAAGGCUCUGGCCGGGGUGAAGCCGACAGCCACACUUUCAAG
RNAcentral lists this long non-coding RNA (228 nucleotides) under Homo sapiens (human). Its description in RNAcentral is "non-protein coding lnc-RARB-2:1". The record is from RNAcentral. Lineage: Eukaryota; Metazoa; Chordata; Mammalia; Primates; Hominidae.